This 251-nucleotide ribosomal RNA is filed under the name uncultured prokaryote. RNAcentral describes it as "partial 16S rRNA". It matches the Rfam family "Bacterial small subunit ribosomal RNA", at positions 525 to 775 of the family's 1533-position model. The record is from RNAcentral.
ACGUAGGUGGCGAGCGUUGUCCGGAAUUAAUGGGUGUAAAGGGUGCGUAGGCGGGUUUGCAAGUCAGGCGUGAAAACUAUCGGCUCAACCGGUAGCCUGCGUUUGAAACUGUGAAUCUUGAGUGGUGAAGAGGUAAGCGGAAUUCCUAGUGUGGCGGUGAAAUGCGUAGAUAUUAGGAGGAGCACCCGUGGCAAAGGCUGCUUACUGGGCACUAACUGACGCUGAGGCACGAAAGCAUUUGGAGCAAACAG